This 459-nucleotide ribosomal RNA is filed under the name uncultured bacterium. RNAcentral's name for it is "partial 16S ribosomal RNA". It matches the Rfam family "Bacterial small subunit ribosomal RNA", at positions 338 to 795 of the family's 1533-position model. The record is from RNAcentral.
CCUACGGGGGGCAGCAGUGAGGAAUAUUGGUCAAUGGACGAGAGUCUGAACCAGCCAAGUAGCGUGAAGGAUGACUGCCCUAUGGGUUGUAAACUUCUUUUAUAUGGGAAUAAAAUGUUCCACGUGUGGGAUUUUGUCUGUACCAUAUGAUUCAGGAUCGGCUAAUUCCGUGCCGGCAGCCGCGGUAAUACGGAGGAUCCGAGCGUUAUCCGGAUUUAUUGGGGUUAAGGGGAGCGUAGUCGGUCAUUUAAGCCGACGGUCAAAUGUCGGGGUUAAACCCCGGCCUGCCGUCGAAACUGGGUGCCUUGAGUGGGCGAGAGGUAUGCGGAAUGCGUGGUGUAGCGGUGAAAUGCAUAGAUAUCACGCAGAACCCCGAUUGCGAAGGCAGCAUACCGGCGCCCUACUGACGCUGAGGCACGAAAGUGCGGGUAUCGAACAGGAUUAGAUACCCGGGUAGUC